UACGUAGGGUGCAAGCGUUAAUCGGAAUUACUGGGCGUAAAGCGUGCGCAGGCGGUUCUGCAAGUCAGAUGUGAAAUCCCCGGGCUUAACCUGGGAACUGCGUUUGAAACUACGGAGCUAGAGUGCGGCAGAGGGGGGUGGAAUUCCACGUGUAGCAGUGAAAUGCGUAGAUAUGCGGAGGAACACCGAUGGCGAAGGCAAUCCCCUGGGCCUGCACUGACGCUCAUGCACGAAAGCGUGGGGAGCAAACAGG
Molecule: ribosomal RNA, 253 nt
Filed under: uncultured bacterium
Lineage: Bacteria
Description: partial 16S ribosomal RNA
Rfam family: Bacterial small subunit ribosomal RNA
Source: RNAcentral